Molecule: long non-coding RNA, 1611 nt
Filed under: Bos indicus x Bos taurus (hybrid cattle)
Lineage: Eukaryota; Metazoa; Chordata; Mammalia; Artiodactyla; Bovidae
Description: lncRNA (ENSBIXG00000023748.1)
Source: RNAcentral
CUAUUUUUUUUUUUUAAUGCUUCCUUGAGACCUCUGUACACAAUCUCUCCAUUGCUGUAGUCACAACAUAGCUUUAUAUCUGCUCUUGUGUCUCCUCUAGGCAGUAGGUUCCUUGAGGGCAGAGACCAGGCCUCUUCACCUUGGCAUCAUUACUGCCCUGUAUCAUCCCUGACUCAUUGGAAGAGAGCUGACUUAUUGGGAAAAAAAAAACAAAAAAAACCAAAAAACCUGAUGCUGAGAAAGAUAGAAGGUGUGGGAGAAAGGGAUGACAGAGGACCAGAUGUUUGGACGGCAUCACCGACUCAAUGGACAUAAGUUUAAGCAAGCUCUGGGAGAUGGUAAAGGACAGGGAGGCCUGGCAUGCUGCAGUCCGUGGGGUCACAAAGAGCUGGACAUGACUGAGCGGCUGAACAACCACAAAUCAUCCCUGACAGAUAGCAGAAGCAGAAUCUUCAGCCCUGCUCCAGACUCAGAGCCCAGGAGGCUCAAACUGCAGGCCUUCCCACACACCUGUGUCUUUAUUCCACCCACCAUCCAAGAAAGACAGAUUCUCCAAACUUCCAACACAAACAGAACAGUGUUUUCUUGCCUCUGGAGUCCUUGAGCAAUGUUUGGCUGAGAGACCCAUGAGAGGAGUGUUACAAGUGUGAUCUCGGCAGGCUGGGUGCCUAGGACUGCCUCCUUCCUGCACCGGCUCUCCAGCCUGGGCCCACGGCCAAGAGCACCAGAGUUCACCAGAAAGACAAACACUGAGACGCUCCCCAAACACUUGGACUUUAAUUUGCUUCAUGAAAUGCCAGGUUAUUUUCUUUUUCUGGCAGAAUUGGUUGCGCCUCCUCCAAUCUCACAGUCCUGCUCCUGGUAGCAGUUUUCUCGGAAUCUCACCAGUUCAAUUUCAUCUAUCUAUCUAUCUAUCUAUGCAUGCUGUGGUUGUAUCUGCUGUUGCUGCUCCUAAGUCACUUCAGUCGUGUCCGACUCUGUGCGACCCUAUAGAUGGCAGCUCACCAGGCUCCCCCAUCCCUGGGAUUCUCCAGGCAAGAAUACUGGAGUGGGUUGCCAUUUCCUUCUCCAAUGCAUGAAAGUAAAAAGUGAAAGUGAAGUAGCUCAGUCGUGCCUGACUCAGCGACCCCAUGGACUGAAGCCACCAGGAUCCUCCAUCCAUGGGAUUUUCCAGGCAAGAGUACUGCAGUGGGGUGCCAUUGCCUUCUCCGUGGCUGUAUCUACCUAUGUAUAUAUGUGUCCAUAACUAGCUAUUGAGUAUAUCUAGCUAUAUGUGUUUGUAUAUGUGUUGUAAUCUAUAUAUGUGUGUAUAUACAUAUAUUGCUGUAUAUAUGCAAGGUGUAUAUUCUGUGUGUUCUCUGUAUAAAUAUACUGGUAUUAUAAUAUGUUGCAGAUUAUGUAUUGUAGCAAUAUAUAUUGUGUAUGUUCCCUCUCUGUCAUGUCUGACUCUUUGCAACCCUGUGGACUGUAGCCCAUGAGACUCCUCUGUGCAUGGGAUUUCCCAGGCAAGAAUACUGGGGUGCGUUGAAACACGAGAUGGAUGAUGGCAGUUCUCUGCUGAAACUCUGCUGUGGCUACCCAUGUCACUAAAUAAAAGAAGAAAUCCUACCA